AGUGAACGCUGGCGGUAGGCCUAACACAUGCAAGUCGAACGGCAGCACAGUAAGAGCUUGCUCUUACGGGUGGCGAGUGGCGGACGGGUGAGGAAUACAUCGGAAUCUACUUUUUCGUGGGGGAUAACGUAGGGAAACUUACGCUAAUACCGCAUACGACCUACGGGUGAAAGCAGGGGAUCUUCGGACCUUGCGCGAUUGAAUGAGACGAUGUCGGAUUAGCUAGUUGGCGGGGUAAAGGCCCACCAAGGCGACGAUCCGUAGCUGGUCUGAGAGGAUGAUCAGCCACACUGGAACUGAGACACGGUCCAGAUUCCUACGGGAGGCAGCAGUGGGGAAUAUUGGACAAUGGGCGCAAGCCUGAUCCAGCCAUACCGCGUGGGUGAAGAAGGCCUUCGGGUUGUAAAGCCCUUUUGUUGGGAAAGAAAAGCAGCAGGUUAAUACCCCGCUGUUCUGACGGUACCCAAAGAAUAAGCACCGGCUAACUUCGUG
RNAcentral lists this ribosomal RNA (492 nucleotides) under uncultured bacterium. Its description in RNAcentral is "partial 16S ribosomal RNA". It matches the Rfam family "Bacterial small subunit ribosomal RNA", at positions 29 to 507 of the family's 1533-position model. The record is from RNAcentral.